This 244-nucleotide ribosomal RNA is filed under the name uncultured Thauera sp. Its description in RNAcentral is "partial 16S ribosomal RNA". It matches the Rfam family "Bacterial small subunit ribosomal RNA", at positions 1138 to 1374 of the family's 1533-position model. Lineage: Bacteria; Pseudomonadati; Pseudomonadota; Betaproteobacteria; Rhodocyclales; Zoogloeaceae. The record is from RNAcentral.
CUCUAAUGAGACUGCCGGUGACAAACCGGAGGAAGGUGGGGAUGACGUCAAGUCCUCAUGGCCCUUAUGGGUAGGGCUUCACACGUCAUACAAUGGUCGGUACAGAGGGUUGCCAAGCCGCGAGGUGGAGCCAACCCCUUAAAGCCGAUCGUAGUCCGGAUCGUAGUCUGCAACUCGACUACGUGAAGUCGGGAUCGCUAGUAAUCGCAGAUCAGCAUGCUCGCGGUCGAUACGUUCCGGCCUU